RNAcentral lists this ribosomal RNA (429 nucleotides) under Chloroflexota bacterium. Its description in RNAcentral is "Chloroflexi bacterium partial 16S ribosomal RNA". It matches the Rfam family "Bacterial small subunit ribosomal RNA", at positions 355 to 776 of the family's 1533-position model. The record is from RNAcentral. Lineage: Bacteria; Bacillati; Chloroflexota.
UGGGGAAUAUUGCACAAUGGGCGCAAGCCUGAUGCAGCCAUGCCGCGUGUGUGAAGAAGGCCUUCGGGUUGUAAAGCACUUUCAGCGGGGAGGAAGGCGUUAAGGUUAAUAACCUUGGCGAUUGACGUUACCCGCAGAAGAAGCACCGGCUAACUCCGUGCCAGCAGCCGCGGUAAUACGGAGGGUGCAAGCGUUAAUCGGAAUUACUGGGCGUAAAGCGCACGCAGGCGGUCUGUCAAGUCGGAUGUGAAAUCCCCGGGCUCAACCUGGAAACUGCAUACGAAACUGGCAAGCUAGAGUCUUGUAGAGGGGGGUAGAAUUCCAGGUGUGGCGGUGAAAUGCGUGGAGAUCUGAAGGAAUACCGGUGGCGAAGGCGGCCCCCUGGACAAAGACUGACGCUCAGGUGCGAAAGCGUGGGGAGCAAACAGG